Molecule: ribosomal RNA, 504 nt
Filed under: uncultured Glomeraceae
Lineage: Eukaryota; Fungi; Glomeromycota; Glomeromycetes; Glomerales; Glomeraceae
Description: SSU rRNA
Rfam family: Eukaryotic small subunit ribosomal RNA
Source: RNAcentral
GGCAGCCGCGGUAAUUCCAGCUCCAAUAGCGUAUAUUAAAGUUGCUGCAGUUAAAAAGCUCGUAGUUGAAUUUCGGGAUCAAUAUGUUGGUCGUGCCUCGGUACGUACUAGCUUAUUGGUUUCUCCCUUCUGACGAACCAUGAUGUCAUUUAUUUGGUGUUAUGGGGAAUCAGGACUGUUACUUUGAAAAAAUUAGAGUGUUUAAAGCAGGCUUACGCUUGAAUACAUUAGCAUGGAAUAAUGAAAUAGGACGUUUGAUUCUAUUUUGUUGGUUUCUAGGAUCGACGUAAUGAUUAAUAGGGAUAGUUGGGGGCAUUAGUAUUCAAUUGUCAGAGGUGAAAUUCUUGGAUUUAUUGAAGACUAACUACUGCGAAAGCAUUUGCCAAGGAUGUUUUCAUUAAUCAAGAACGAAAGUUAGGGGAUCGAAGACGAUCAGAUACCGUCGUAGUCUUAACCAUAAACUAUGCCGACUAGGGAUCGGAUGAUGUAAUUUUUAAUGACUCA